Molecule: long non-coding RNA, 512 nt
Filed under: Homo sapiens (human)
Lineage: Eukaryota; Metazoa; Chordata; Mammalia; Primates; Hominidae
Description: HSALNT0341336
Source: RNAcentral
ACAGACUGCCGGUCAGUGUCAGCAGGCGGUGGGUUAGGGUCCGCAGGCCCAGACCAGGCCGCCGACACCAAUAAGCUACAAGGAGGAGCUUUACCGCUGCCUGUACUACUACUGCCUGCGCUACUUCCCAGCCUGCGGCGUAGGGCGCAGCAAGGGCCUGACGCUUAGCGAGCAGGCGCUGCGCACCAAGCGGCUGUCGCCUGGAGGGCACGUUCAGGCAGAAGCUCCUCAGUGGCCACAAGUCCGCUAGCUCCGGCUACAGCCCUUGCCGCACACUCGCGUCACCUGAGCCUGUGAUGCCGAAGGACCUGUUCAAAGUAUUUUCUGUAACUCCAACUGUAACUUGGUUCUAGGAGGAGAGAAUCCAUGUUUGGUCAACAGAACUUUUCGCCGCCACUUAAGUUUACUGCUUCAAUAUCUUUUCCUUACUAAUUGAUUGUUAAUUAAGUAGUGUCCAAGUGAGUUAGCCUUUUUAGGGUUGAUUAAUUAAAAGAGCAGCAAGAAUGGCAUUU